AAGUGAGUAAAAAACGAAAAAUCCUCGAUUUGACGAAACACCCAAGAGGUUGUUCUGUCGAGGGUGUUUCGUUUCAAGUAAUAGAUAUUGAAACGUUCGUUCCUAAUAAUUCUUUGAGUCCGCGAUAGAGAGAGGAGAGAAGAGAGAACCCAGCUCGCCCCCUUCUGAAAUCUUCAGAGCAGGUAUUGGGAACAAAUUUAGGGGGUUUUUUGGACCACCUAUGACUGACUGAUUCCAGAGAUAGAGAUCGAUAAACUUCAAUGUUUUGAGGAGAGAAUAUAUUUUGGAACAAUCAUUCCCGAUAAUUCCAGAGUCCACGCAUAGAGAGAGGAGAGAAGAGGGAAGAGGAGCUCGGCCCCAUGUGAAAUCUCUAGUGCAGGCUGAUAACCGUGGAUGUGGUAUGUUUGUAUGGUUGAAAGAUGAAACACAUAUCUCUAUCAUACAACAUAAAUUAUACUCAGAAAGCUCAAGCUCAACAUCAACAUCAUCCACACCACCGUCCGUUUCGAAUGAGUACAUGAAAGGAUAUCUGGAAGGGACACUUAAAGGA
Macadamia integrifolia is the source of this 550-nucleotide long non-coding RNA. RefSeq lists it as uncharacterized. The transcript is spliced from 3 exons. The record is from RefSeq and is a predicted model, not a curated record. Lineage: Eukaryota; Viridiplantae; Streptophyta; Magnoliopsida; Proteales; Proteaceae.